This 20-nucleotide non-coding RNA is filed under the name Arabidopsis thaliana (thale cress). The record is from RNAcentral. Lineage: Eukaryota; Viridiplantae; Streptophyta; Magnoliopsida; Brassicales; Brassicaceae.
GGGCUUGGAGGAGGAGUUGG